RNAcentral lists this ribosomal RNA (253 nucleotides) under uncultured bacterium. RNAcentral describes it as "partial 16S ribosomal RNA". It matches the Rfam family "Bacterial small subunit ribosomal RNA", at positions 524 to 776 of the family's 1533-position model. The record is from RNAcentral.
UACGUAGGGGGCAAGCGUUGUCCGGAAUUAUUGGGCGUAAAGAGCGUGUAGGCGGUCCGGUAAGUCAGCUGUGAAAGUCAAGGGCUCAACCCUUGAAUGCCGGUUGAUACUGUCGGGCUAGAGUCCGGAAGAGGCGAGUGGAAUUCCCGGUGUAGCGGUGAAAUGCGCAGAUAUCAGGAGGAACACCAAUGGCGAAGGCAGCUCGCUGGGACGGUACUGACGCUGAGACGCGAAAGCGUGGGGAGCAAACAGG